CAAGUCGAACGAGAAAGCGGGGCAACUCGCGAGUACAGUGGCGUACGGGUGAGUAACACGUGGGUAAUCUACCCUUUAGUGGGGAAUAACGCUGGGAAACCGGCGCUAAUACCGCAUAAUCCCGGAAGGGGAAAGCAGCAAUGCGCUGAAGGAGGAGCCCGCGGCCGAUUAGCUAGUUGGGAGGGUAAGAGCCUACCAAGGCAAAGAUCGGUAGCCGGCCUGAGAGGGCACACGGCCACACUGGCACUGAAACACGGGCCAGACUCCUACGGGAGGCAGCAGUGGGGAAUCUUGCACAAUGGGGGGAACCCUGAUGCAGCGACGCCGCGUGAACGAUGAAGCCCUUCGGGGUGUAAAGUUCUUUCGGCAGGGACGAUAAUGACGGUACCUGCAGAAGCAGCUGCGGCUAACUACGUGCCAGCAGCCGCGGUAAUACGUAGGCAGCGAGCGUUGUUCGGAGUUACUGGGCGUAAAGGGUGUGUAGGCGGUUCUCUAAGUUUGGUGUGAAAUCUCCCGGCUCAACCGGGAGGGUGCGCCGAAAACUGGGGGACUAGAGUGCGGGAUGGGAGAGUAGAAUUCCUGGUGUAGCGGUGAAAUGCGUAGAUAUCAGGAGGAAUACCGGUGGUGUAGACGGCUCUCUGGACCGCAACUGACGCUGAGACACGAAAGCGUGGGUAGCAAACAGGAUUAGAUACCCUGGUAGUCCACGCCCUAAACGAUGCAUAUUUGGUGUAGGUCAUUCAGUUGAUCUGUGCCGGAGCUAACGCGUUAAAUAUGCCGCCUGGGGAGUACAGCCGCAAGGCUGAAACUCAAAGGAAUUGACGGGGGCCCGCACAAGCGGUGGA
This 845-nucleotide ribosomal RNA is filed under the name uncultured Bacillota bacterium. RNAcentral describes it as "bacterial SSU rRNA". It matches the Rfam family "Bacterial small subunit ribosomal RNA", at positions 58 to 936 of the family's 1533-position model. The record is from RNAcentral. Lineage: Bacteria; Bacillati; Bacillota.